This 206-nucleotide ribosomal RNA is filed under the name uncultured bacterium. RNAcentral describes it as "partial 16S ribosomal RNA". It matches the Rfam family "Bacterial small subunit ribosomal RNA", at positions 568 to 774 of the family's 1533-position model. The record is from RNAcentral.
UGCGUAGGCGGUUUGUUAAGUCCGUUGUGAAAGCCCUGGGCUCAACCUGGGGAUUGCAGUGGAUACUGGCGAGCUAGAGUGCGGUAGAGGAUGGUGGAAUUCCCGGUGUAGCGGUGAAAUGCGUAGAGAUCGGGAGGAACACCCGUGGCGAAGGCGGCCAUCUGGACCAGCACUGACGCUGAGGCACGAAAGCGUGGGAGCAAACA